GAGUCAAACUGAUUGCACGUCUACUCCCAAACAUAUUGUGAGGCUCCUCCGGACCAAGGAGAGGCCUGUCGAAGAUCCAAUGUCCUCGAAAGAGAGCCAUCAUGCCCUAGGAAUGGGCCAUGGGAAAGAAAAUGAAGCCGAAACUCCGCCUAGCAACCAUGACGAAAAUUUUCGUACUACCAGCUCAACCAUCAUUGACAAUAAUGGUGCUUCUGGGGCUGAUGGAGACGGAAUGACGGAAUUGCAAGUAAAAAGCCUGGUGGGCCUUGCUCGCAGCAUGUCCCACGCCUCAGCCCAAAGCAGUCUAUGCGCACAGCACCCUAGCGGUGACAUCAACCCCUUCAUCGACUCUGAAUCCGACCCCGAAUUGAACCCUCACAAUGAAAAUUUUAAUUUGCGUAAAUGGAUGAAAUCCAUCCUCCGCAUUACUUCAAGAGACCCCGAGCGUUAUCCCCGUCGCACUGCCGGCGUUUCAUUCCGCAACCUGAACGUGCAUGGCUAUGGCACUGCUGCUGACUACCAAGCCGAUGUUGCAAAUGUUUGGCUGAAGGCGUAUGGAAUUGUAAAGCGCUUGGUCGGUUUUGAUGAAAAGGUCCGCAUCGACAUUUUGCGCAAUUUCGAAGGUUUAGUGAAGAGUGGAGAGAUGCUGGUCGUGUUGGGCCGUCCAGGGAGUGGGUGUUCAACCUUUCUUAAGACUCUAGCUGGUGAGACACAUGGGUUAUACCUGGGAGAGGGCACUUCAAUUGAGUAUCAAGGUAUCUCUUGGGACCAGAUGCAUAAUAACUUCCGUGGCGAAGCUAUCUACCAGGCAGAAACAGAAUCACAUUUCGCACACUUAACGGCUAGUGAUACCCUCUAUUUUGCUGCAAAAGCUCGUGCUCCAGCUAAUCGGUUCCCUGGUGUCAGUCGCAACCAAUAUGCGCUGCAUAUGCGAGAUGUUGUCAUGGCCAUGCUUAACCUCUCUCACACGGUAAACACCAAGGUCGGAAACGAAUACAUCCCUGGUGUGUCUGGUGGCGAAAGGAAGCGCAUUAGUAUCGCGGAAACCACUCUUAGUGGGAGUCCACUUCAAUGCUGGGACAACAGCACUCGGGGCCUUGAUAGUGCUACCGCUCGCACAGUUAUAGAGUCGCUACACCUAUCUACCAGAUAUUCCGGCACAACUGCAAUUGUAGCUAUAUAUCAAGCGAGCCAGGCUAUCUAUGAUAUAUUUGAUAAGGCAAUGGUGUUGUAUGAGGGGAGGCAGAUCUAUUUUGGGAAGACAACCCACGCUAAGAAAUAUUUUAUUGACAUGGGGUUUUAUUGCCCGGAGCGGCAGACAACGGGGGAUUUCCUCACAUCCAUGACUAACCCAGAGGAGCGAUUGGUACGUGAGGGAUUUGAGGCGGUUGUUCCACGUACACCCGACGAGUUCGCAGCAAGAUGGCAGCAGAGCCCCGAUCGCAAAGCGCUCCUCACGGAGAUAGAAGCGUACCAGAAGGAAUAUCCCUUGAAUGCACAGCCUCUUGAUCAGUUCAAUUCAUCUCUCAGUGCUCAGAAAUCAAAAUUUAACCGAGGCAAAUCCCCUUAUACGAUAUCCUACUGGAUGCAAAUAAGGCUUUGCAUAUGGAGAGGAGUUCAGCGGCUAAAGGGAGAUUUAUCCAUCACCUUGACAUCUAUCAUCGGCAAUAUUAUCAUGGCUUUAGUUGUGGCCUCUAUGUUCUAUAAUUUACCUAAUGACACCAGCAGUUUUUUCAGUCGUGGGGCGCUAAUCUUCUUCGCUAUCAUCCUGAAUGCGUUGGCAACCACUCUUGAGGUAUUGACUCUGUGGCAGCAACGACCAGUUGUGGAAAAGCAUCAUAAGUACGCGCUAUAUCGCCCAUCUGCUGAAGCGAUAAGCUCCAUCAUCAUUGACCUCCCAGCAAAAC
Molecule: small RNA, 1907 nt
Filed under: Histoplasma capsulatum
Lineage: Eukaryota; Fungi; Ascomycota; Eurotiomycetes; Onygenales; Ajellomycetaceae
Also listed under: 1 other name
Description: hypothetical RNA
Source: RNAcentral